This 99-nucleotide non-coding RNA is filed under the name Lotharella globosa. Lineage: Eukaryota; Cercozoa; Chlorarachniophyceae. The record is from RNAcentral.
UUUACUUUUUUUCAUUCUCUCUUUUUUAUGUUCUUUUGCGUUAGUUCGAUUAGAAGAACGAACGGACGUGAUGAUAGACAAACGAAUGAGAAAACAAAA